This 301-nucleotide small nuclear RNA is filed under the name Chinchilla lanigera (long-tailed chinchilla). Its description in RNAcentral is "7SK RNA (ENSCLAG00000021896.1)". It matches the Rfam family "7SK RNA". Rfam says of the family: 7SK was discovered as an abundant small nuclear RNA in the mid-70s but a possible function has only recently been suggested. Two independent studies have found that 7SK RNA binds the CDK9/cyclin T complex (known as elongation factor P-TEFb). Lineage: Eukaryota; Metazoa; Chordata; Mammalia; Rodentia; Chinchillidae. The record is from Rfam by way of RNAcentral.
GGAUGUGAGGGCAAUCUGGCUGUGACAUCUGUCACCCCGUUGAUGGCCAGGGUUGAUUCAGCCAAUCUAGCUGGCUAGGCGAUUGUCCCCUUCCUCUCUCAGCGCUCCAUGUGUGCGUCCCUCCCAAACGUGUGCUUGGUCACAGAGGAUGACGACCACCAAUAGAGGAGGACAGUUCAUCUGUCAAGGGUAUAUGAGUAGCUGCGCUGCCCUGCUAGAACCUCCAAACAAGCUCUAAUCCCCUUUUUAAUUCAUCAUAGAUAGCCAUUAAAUGCAUUUGGUGGGUACCUUUCCCAUCUGC